This 612-nucleotide ribosomal RNA is filed under the name Salmonella enterica. RNAcentral describes it as "partial 23S ribosomal RNA". It matches the Rfam family "Bacterial large subunit ribosomal RNA", at positions 1 to 652 of the family's 2925-position model. Lineage: Bacteria; Pseudomonadati; Pseudomonadota; Gammaproteobacteria; Enterobacterales; Enterobacteriaceae. RNAcentral also lists the same sequence under 1 other name. The record is from RNAcentral.
GGUUAAGCGACUAAGCGUACACGGUGGAUGCCCUGGCAGUCAGAGGCGAUGAAGGACGUGCUAAUCUGCGAUAAGCGCCGGUAAGGUGAUAUGAACCGUUAUAACCGGCGAUUUCCGAAUGGGGAAACCCAGUGUGAUUCGUCACACUAUCAUUAACUGAAUCCAUAGGUUAAUGAGGCGAACCGGGGGAACUGAAACAUCUAAGUACCCCGAGGAAAAGAAAUCAACCGAGAUUCCCCCAGUAGCGGCGAGCGAACGGGGAGGAGCCCAGAGCCUGAAUCAGCAUGUGUGUUAGUGGAAGCGUCUGGAAAGGCGCGCGAUACAGGGUGACAGCCCCGUACACAAAAGCGCAUGUGCUGUGAGCUCGAUGAGUAGGGCGGGACACGUGGUAUCCUGUCUGAAUAUGGGGGGACCAUCCUCCAAGGCUAAAUACUCCUGACUGACCGAUAGUGAACCAGUACCGUGAGGGAAAGGCGAAAAGAACCCCGGCGAGGGGAGUGAAAAAGAACCUGAAACCGUGUACGUACAAGCAGUGGGAGCACCCUUCGGGGUGUGACUGCGUACCUUUUGUAUAAUGGGUCAGCGACUUAUAUUCUGUAGCAAGGUUAACCG